UACGGAGGGUGCAAGCGUUAUCCGGAUUUAUUGGGUUUAAAGGGUCCGUAGGCGGAUCCGUAAGUCAGUGGUGAAAUCUCACAGCUCAACUGUGAAACUGCCAUUGAUACUGCGGGUCUUGAGUAAGGUAGAAGUGGCUGGAAUAAGUAGUGUAGCGGUGAAAUGCAUAGAUAUUACUUAGAACACCAAUUGCGAAGGCAGGUCACUAUGUCUUAACUGACGCUGAUGGACGAAAGCGUGGGGAGCGAACAGG
RNAcentral lists this ribosomal RNA (253 nucleotides) under uncultured bacterium. RNAcentral's name for it is "partial 16S ribosomal RNA". It matches the Rfam family "Bacterial small subunit ribosomal RNA", at positions 524 to 776 of the family's 1533-position model. The record is from RNAcentral.